GGGUGUGAUCAUAGCAGCGUUAAUGUGUUGCAUCCCAUCAGAACUCCACAGUUAAGCGCCCUUGGCAUAGAGUAUUACUGGGAUGGGUGACCUCCCAGGAAGUCCUAGUGUUGCACCCU
Molecule: non-coding RNA, 119 nt
Organism: Picea glauca (white spruce)
Lineage: Eukaryota; Viridiplantae; Streptophyta; Pinopsida; Pinales; Pinaceae
Source: Rfam